CGAGGAUUAGGCUAGCGACCUCCCCCAGUCAGCUGCCUGUGGCUGCUCGUGAAACAGACGCUGUUUUCGCCAAGGCUGGAUGCAACCACCUGAAAACUGUCAAUAAACCAACCUUCGGCCUUUUAGCAUCAAACUUGGACAACAUCCCAGCCGAGGCUAGAAGCGUAGGUAAUAUGUUUAUCACUCAAAUCUAGACGAAGGGUGGCCGAGAAGUUGCUGGAGACGAAGCUCGGGCACUAAUUAACAAGGGCGAGACUGAUGAAGAUUGACAAUCUGAAGCUUAUCCUAAUAGUUAUGAAGAAUGCUUUCGAGGCUAUCUUGUAAUUUUGCCAGUAGUCCUGAAAGAUGCUCUUAGAGCUCUUUUUUUGUAAAUGAAAAACAUUAUAUUCGGCAAAUAAAUGUCGAAGAAUGUAAUAUCUUUGUAAACAUCUAUGAAUACCUUGCAGUAUUACCUUUCUUCUGUU
Long non-coding RNA from Zea mays, 464 nucleotides. RefSeq lists it as uncharacterized. The record is from RefSeq and is a predicted model, not a curated record. Lineage: Eukaryota; Viridiplantae; Streptophyta; Magnoliopsida; Poales; Poaceae. The transcript has 3 exons.